RNAcentral lists this ribosomal RNA (1219 nucleotides) under metagenome. RNAcentral's name for it is "bacterial SSU rRNA". It matches the Rfam family "Bacterial small subunit ribosomal RNA", at positions 15 to 1209 of the family's 1533-position model. The record is from RNAcentral.
GAUCCUGGCUCAGAAUGAACGCUGGCGGCGUGCUUAACACAUGCAAGUCGAACGAGAAAGGGAUUGCUUGCAAUCCUGAGUAGAGUGGCGCACGGGUGAGUAACACGUAGAUAAUCUACCUUCAAGCCUGGAAUAACUAUUCGAAAGGAUAGCUAAUACCGGAUAAAGUUGUUCAACUCAAGUUGAAUUAUGAAAGAUUGCCUCUUCAUGAAAGCAAUUGUUUGGAGAUGAGUUUGCGGACCAUUAGUUAGUUGGUGGGGUAAAGGCCUACCAAGACUACGAUGGUUAGCUGGUCUGAGAGGAUGAUCAGCCACACUGGAACUGGUACACGGUCCAGACUCCUACGGGAGGCAGCAGUGAGGAAUUUUGCGCAAUGGGGGAAACCCUGACGCAGCAACGCCGCGUGAGUGAAGAAGGCCCUUGGGUCGUAAAGCUCUGUCUACAGGGAAGAAAUUGUAUUAUUCUAAUAGGGUAAUACAUUGACGGUACCUGUAGAGGAAGCACCGGCUAACUCCGUGCCAGCAGCCGCGGUAAUACGGGGGGUGCAAGCGUUAUUCGGAAUUAUUGGGCGUAAAGGGCGCGUAGGCGGUCUUGUCGGUCAGAUGUGAAAGCCCAGGGCUCAACCCUGGACGUGCAUUUGAAACAGCAAGACUUGGAUACUGGAGAGGAGAGCGGAAUUCCUGGUGUAGAGGUGAAAUUCGUAGAUAUCAGGAGGAACACCGAUGGCGAAGGCAGCUCUCUGGACAGAUAUUGACGCUGAGGCGCGAAGGCGUGGGUAGCGAACAGGAUUAGAUACCCUGGUAGUCCACGCAGUAAACGAUGUUCACUAGGUGUAGCGGGUAUUAAAAUCUGCUGUGCCCAAGCUAACGCAUUAAGUGAACCGCCUGGGGAGUACGGUCGCAAGACUAAAACUCAAAGGAAUUGACGGGGGCCCGCACAAGCGGUGGAGCAUGUGGUUUAAUUCGACAACGCGAAGAACCUUACCUGGGUUUGACAUCCUGUGAAUUUUCAAGAAAUUGAGAAGUGCCUUCGGGAACACAGUGACAGGUGCUGCGUGGCUGUCGUCAGCUCGUGUCGUGAGAUGUUUGGUUAAGUCCAGCAACGAGCGCAACCCUUAUCGUUAGUUGCCAGCACGUAAUGGUGGGAACUCUAACGAGACUGCCCGGGUUAACCGGGAGGAAGGUGGGGAUGACGUCAAGUCCUCAUGGCCCUUAUAUCC